Molecule: ribosomal RNA, 331 nt
Filed under: uncultured bacterium
Lineage: Bacteria
Description: bacterial SSU rRNA
Rfam family: Bacterial small subunit ribosomal RNA
Source: RNAcentral
CGCGUAGGCGGGUUGUUAAGUGAGAUGUGAAAUCCCCGGGCUUAACCUGGGAACUGCAUCUUAUACUGGCGAUCUAGAGUUUUGUAGAGGGUAGUGGAAUUUCCGGUGUAGCGGUGAAAUGCGUAGAGAUCGGAAGGAACAUCAGUGGCGAAGGCGGCUACCUGGACAAAAACUGACGCUGAGGCGCGAAAGCGUGGGGAGCAAACAGGAUUAGAUACCCUGGUAGUCCACGCUGUAAACGAUGAGAACUGGAUGUUGGCAGGCAAGACCUGUUGGUAUCGAAGCUAACGCGAUAAGUUCUCCGCCUGGGGAGUACGGCCGCAAGGUUAAA